RNAcentral lists this long non-coding RNA (207 nucleotides) under Lathyrus oleraceus (garden pea). Its description in RNAcentral is "Pisum sativum (pea) long non-coding RNA (PSAT_LNC016767)". Lineage: Eukaryota; Viridiplantae; Streptophyta; Magnoliopsida; Fabales; Fabaceae. The record is from RNAcentral.
CAACUCUCCCCAACUAGAUUCUUGCUUGUCCUCAAGCAAAGUAUGCCUCUUGAAGGACAAGAGGAUUUGCUUUAAGAAAAAGGUUUCUCCGAAGUCAGAUAAAAUGGCUCAAACACAAGAAAAUCAACCAGGCACAAGUUCCCAAUGGUUAGAAUAACAUAAUACAUAAGAACUAAAACUUUAUAGCAAUGUAAAACAUGUAACAAU